CCUAUACAUGCAGUCGAGCGGACAGAUGGGAGCUUGCUCCCUGAUGUUAGCGGCGGACGGGUGAGUAACACGUGGGUAACCUGCCUGUAAGACUGGGAUAACUCCGGGAAACCGGGGCUAAUACCGGAUGGUUGUUUGAACCGCAUGGUUCAGACAUAAAAGGUGGCUUCGGCUACCACUUACAGAUGGACCCGCGGCGCAUUAGCUAGUUGGUGAGGUAACGGCUCACCAAGGCGACGAUGCGUAGCCGACCUGAGAGGGUGAUCGGCCACACUGGGACUGAGACACGGCCCAGACUCCUACGGGAGGCAGCAGUAGGGAAUCUUCCGCAAUGGACGAAAGUCUGACGGAGCAACGCCGCGUGAGUGAUGAAGGUUUUCGGAUCGUAAAGCUCUGUUGUUAGGGAAGAACAAGUGCCGUUCAAAUAGGGCGGCACCUUGACGGUACCUAACCAGAAAGCCACGGCUAACUACGUGCCAGCAGCCGCGGUAAUACGUAGGUGGCAAGCGUUGUCCGGAAUUAUUGGGCGUAAAGGGCUCGCAGGCGGUUUCUUAAGUCUGAUGUGAAAGCCCCCGGCUCAACCGGGGAGGGUCAUUGGAAACUGGGGAACUUGAGUGCAGAAGAGGAGAGUGGAAUUCCACGUGUAGCGGUGAAAUGCGUAGAGAUGUGGAGGAACACCAGUGGCGAAGGCGACUCUCUGGUCUGUAACUGACGCUGAGGAGCGAAAGCGUGGGGAGCGAACAGGAUUAGAUACCCCUGGUAGUCCACGCCGUAAACGAUGAGUGCUAAGUGUUAGGGGGUUUCCGCCCCUUUAGUGCUGCAGCUAACGCAUUAAAGCACUUCCGACUUGAGGAGUACGGUCGCAAGACUGGAACUUCAAGAAUGACGGGCGUCCGCACAAGCUGAUGGAGCAUGUGGUCUUA
Molecule: ribosomal RNA, 923 nt
Filed under: Bacillus sp. (in: firmicutes)
Lineage: Bacteria; Bacillati; Bacillota; Bacilli; Caryophanales; Bacillaceae
Description: bacterial SSU rRNA
Rfam family: Bacterial small subunit ribosomal RNA
Source: RNAcentral